This 285-nucleotide ribosomal RNA is filed under the name uncultured bacterium. RNAcentral's name for it is "partial 16S ribosomal RNA". It matches the Rfam family "Bacterial small subunit ribosomal RNA", at positions 388 to 685 of the family's 1533-position model. The record is from RNAcentral.
GCAGCAACGCCGCGUGGGGGAUGAAGGCCUUCGGGUUGUAAACCUCUUUCAGCAGGGAAGAAGCGAAAGUGACGGUACCUGCAGAAGAAGCACCAGCUAACUACGUGCCAGCAGCCGCGGUAAUACGUAGGGUGCAAGCGUUGUCCGGAAUUAUUGGGCGUAAAGAGCUCGUAGGUGGUUUGUCGCGUCUGCUGUGAAAAUUCGGGGCUCAACCCCGGACUUGCAGUGGGUACGGGCAGACUAGAGUGUGGUAGAGGAGACUGGAAUUCCUGGUGUAGCGGUGGA